CCCGUUAUAUGCACGGACGGUGCGGAUAGCGGAGAACUCGUAUUGCACGCCGUUAAAAGGGUUAAAAUUAAGUGUUUUAAAGGUGUUUCACGUUUGUCAAGGAGCACUACAAGGGAAACCAUACCCUCCCUGUGAAUUUAAUGCAGCCAAUGAGUUCUCACGUUUAGGAAUAAAACCCUAAUCAGUUCAUUUAAGAACAGUUGUGCUGUUGUCAUUAAAUCAGAGGGAGGUACAACCGAGUUUCUUGGAGAGAAUGUCACUUUGGUGCCUAGAAGUGGCCAAGAACCGGGGAUACAUUGUCGGGCCUCGCCACAGCCCGAGGCUUUGGCUGAGCCUCAGAUGGGCGACAUCAAGCUGAGGACCAUGUGGUGGAGGGAGGUGAGGCCAUGGGUAGAUGAAAAUAUGCAGUAAAGAACCAGGCCCAGUGGCCAGGGGGGAAGAGUAUGUACUCUCAAAGAAGGUGUAAGAAAGCAGCAAGGCAGUGGUUAUAUGCCAAAAACCUGGGGGUGAACCGUUCCUGGCAUGGCCUCACAGCUAGUUUGGAGAGGCGGAAUGGUGAACGUGGGCCCGCAGGGGAAGCCUCAGCCUGUUAUUCUUCGAUUUCACCGCUAUCAGGUCAAAGAACUGGUGAUCUGUGAGGCAUGUAAGCGAGGGUACCUGAUGUACCAGGGCCACAAGAUCCAGAUAUAUGAAGACUACAGCGCUGAGCUGCGAAUUACACUGCCGACCGGCAAAAGAAGAUGGCUGCAAUCAGUAUCAGAGGCUGAGAACUUCCUUCAGAGCUCCAACGCGCUUUGGCUCUGGACUCAGGGAAUUAAACCAAAUCUUCACCUCUUUUUUUUCGUGCUCCGAUGUAUACUCUGCUCCCAGUUGAGUAUGUUGAACUGGCCCUCUUAGACGGCAGCUUCGAAGUUGCAGUUGUUUCAUCCUGUCAUUAACUGCCGUAUGGAUUGUUGCUUGAACUUUCUUUGUAAUUAAGCUGCGUUUUUCCCUUAAAUUAAUGUUCUGGUUAGCUUUUUUUAUUGUUGUUAUACUAAAGUUAAUAUUGUGUCCGCAUUGCUUGCAUUGUAACUCAAGCUGAUAUAAAACUUUGUGUGCAAGAUUCUAAAAUAUCUUUUUAAGGCUUAGCUUUUGUAAGUUUGAUGUCAUGUUUCAUCCGAGGUUAACUGUGUUCGGGACUAGAGCCUUAAGGUAUAGGAAGUAAUACAUGUUGACUUAAGUUGAGCAUAUGUUCUUUCUCGCACUUGUGGUAGUUUUGGACCUGGAGCUCAAGUUUGUUUUUGGCCAGUUGGCUUAUUUGUUUUGUUUUGUACUUCUUUACACUAUUGUUUCUAAAUUACGUCAUUAUUCGUUUUAUCAUUAAUUCUUACAAGCUUUCUAUUUUCCUGUUAUCCUCCCCUUUUAUAUUCUCAAUGUUUUACCCCUUGUACUUCUUUAUACCUUGUGCUUAUGGGGGCACUAUUUUUCUACUAUCUCCCCAUACUGCUUUACCCUAAUGACAAGUCCAAAUAGUGUGGUAGCAUCAAGUAGUGCACUUAGAUUUAUGACCUGGAAUGUUCUGGGGCUAAAUUCACCCAUAAAUCAUAACCAAGUUCUUAGCCACCUCAAACAUUUAGGUACUAAAAAUGCAUUUCUUCAGGGGACUCAUCUUAAGAUAAGAUAAUCUUUUGUUAGUCCCACAAUGGGGAAGUAGAGUCCAGAAGACGGGGGCUGCAGCAGGGGUAAUUGUGUAGGGGCGGGGUGAGUGAUCAAAUCUAUUGAAAAACAGAUUGAGAUCGUUCUAUUCUAUAAUUCUAUUAAAAUGUGUGUUCUUCCCAAGAUCGUUCUAUUCUAUAAUUCUAUUAAAAUGUAUGUUCUUCCCAAGUUUUUAUACGUCUUUCAAUGUAUCCCUAUUUUUAUUCCCAAAUCCUUUUUUUUCACUUGAUGGACUUAUUUCUCAGUUUAUAUGGAAUAAAAAAAAACUAGGAUCUGGAAAGUUAUUUCACAAAGCAUUUAGGGGGUCUGGCCCGUUGAUGUUACACUGGUACUCUACAGGACAUUUGGACACCUUGGUUGCAUAUGGAGAGUGCUUUGUGCUCUCUGGCCUCUCUUGCAUCCCUUCUUUGUCUCCCUGUAUACUCUUCUCAUAUUAAAUACUCUAAUAAUAUUGUUAAAAAUUGAUUAAAAAUUUGGGUCCAGUUUACAUGGCAUUAUGGAUUUCAGACUGUUCCUCUGUCCUCUCCACUGCAUUCUAACCCUUUAUUCUCUCCCUCUGUUUCCGAUAACGCCUAUGCAGUAUGGGCAAGAUGUGGUAUUUUUUCUGUGGAAGAUCUAUAUUUUGAUGGAGUAUUUGCUUCAUUUGAUCAGUUAAUCUCAAUUUUUUUAUCUGCCCAGGGCUCAUUUUUUUUCAAGUAUUUACAAGUAAGGGACUUUGUUCAUAAAAAUAUCAGUAAUUCCCCAGCCACUCCACCUCCCUCCUCUUUAGAUGCAAUCCUAAAAAUAGAUCCUUAUAUAAAAGGCUCUAUUUCUAAACUUUACCACACCAUGUUCACUCUUCAGUCUUCAAACACUCAUCCUCUACGUAUUAUACGGUACCAGGACCUGGGUGUAAAUAUAGAGACAGAGUCUUGGGAGGCAAUUUUUAAGCGUCCAUAGUCCAUCUAUAUGUGCUCAUCAUUGUAUUUUGCAGUGUGAAGUUGUUCACAGAGUGCACUGGUCUAAAAGUAGGCUUUCUCGUAUUUAUCCUAGUAUUGACCCCCCUAGAUGUGAUAGGUGUCACCAUAGCUCUGCUAAUCUCCUACAUAUGUUUUAGAACUGCAGUUCCUUGUCUUCAUUUUGGGAAUCUGUUUUUGAUUCCCUCUCUGCUGUAAUAUCAAUUAAUAUCUCCCCUUCUCCCAUGGUUGGUCUUUUCGGAGUUCUACCCAUAGGCCUUUCUGUGCCAUCUCACUUUGGCUUUUUUGACACUGCUUGCAAGACAGCGAAUUCUUAUUUACUGGAGAAAGCCCCACCCACCCUCUCACACGGCAUUUAUGAAACUUGAUCAGAUUAAACAACAUCUACGUGGUUCAGAUAAAAAAAAUCUUUAAAGUCUGGCAGCCCUUUUUAGAUCAUAUACACGACAUACAGCUUGAUGUUUCUACCAAGUGAAUUUUUUCUCUUUCUAUACUAUUUUUGCCUCACUGCUGUCUGUAUAAUAUGGGGAUCCCCUCCUUUAAUUACUAUUAAUAGUACUUUUGUACUUAUUUAAAUUAUUAUUGUGCUUUGUGUUUUUUUUCCUUAAUUCUAAUUUGAAUUAUUUUCUUAUUAUUGUUACUUUUUUUCUUUGAUAGAUUCUGUUUUACAAUAUGCAAUGCCUGUAUCUUGUCAAUUUUUGAACAGCUUUAUUUAUGUAUUUUGCAAUGUCUAUAAAUAAAUCAUAAAAAAAAAAGAUAAACUUCAAAGAGACAUCAACAUUAAAGCGAAUGCUGAGUUCCCGGCGACUUUCCAUGAUAUCUUGGUGGUGGAUGCGUUCAUUCGGACAGUGAGACUAGGGGUGGCUUGGUGGCUGGCAAAGAAAAUGGAGGGACCACAGAUCACAGUAAAAUCUGUCAGGCUGUGGGGGUGGGUUGCAAUGAUACUUAAGAUAAAGAGAUGUUCAGAGCAGUGGCUGAGGUGACAUGUCAUUUAUGUAAACAGACAGGGCAUGUGAGUGCCCACACAGGAGGUAUUCAGUGAGCACUCAGAUGCUGGAAGGCUGCAGGGAAUGGCCGUAAAGGAGGAUAUAGCUGCCGGCGUGAAUUAUUUCCUCCACAGCCACCUCCACACUCGGCAGUUUAUGGUGCCAUGUAAAUUGAAUGGUAAGGAGUUGUGGGUACUAGUUGACGCUGGCUCAACAAUUAGCAUCAUUAGAUAAGGAAUCGUCCCUCUCAAUCCAUCCUGGCGGCCCACAAAGACAAAAAUGGAGACUAUAACAGGGCAAACUGCCCAUGUCACCUGGAAAGACUGCAUUGAUGAGGUGUUGGACUGGCUGUCCUGCUCUUCCUGGUUUGGCAUGCUUAACCCACGUAGCAGCUACUGGGAGGUCUCCUGGCCCUUGACGCAGCUCCCAAGACAGCCUUAAUGCUGGGCAGGGGGUUAUGGGAAUUUACUGUUCUGCCAUUCGGCCUGGCUAACAACCCCACCACCUUCAAGAGACUAAUGGCAUGGGUCCUCGAAGGAGUGUCCCUCACCUCCUGUAUCGUUGAUUUGGAUGACACCCUAGUCCGUACAGUGGACUUUAAGCUUCUUGGGGCUGGCCUCACAUGUUGCUGCAUCGGGACUGCCUGGCCCCAUUCCUGGAAGAUCAGGCAGGGUAGAACCUUGCCCCAGAGGACCUGACCAACGCUCUCUAGAGAGCGCCUCAGGCCUCUCCAGAUCACUCCAUUGGAAUCCUCUCCAUGGCCCCCUGGAGACCUGAGGGGACUUCGACACCCCAUCAGAUUCAACGCACAGGCCGGAAGCUGAGCUGAGGGGGAUGCCAAAUACUCCUGGGGUCAGGAGACUACAUCAGUUCAGAGCAAUGUGGCAUUCAGCAUUUACUAAACUAUGUAGGUAGUUCAGUAAAAAAGAAAGAAAUGUUUAUUCUGGUUUAAGUGGGCUAAACAUGGACUUCUGUUCUAAAAGAGCCUGAAUACAAGUGUGGUGCCAGGUUUUGUGAAGAAGGAAAAAAGUUUUUUUUUUUUGUUUUGUUUUGUUUUGUUUUUUGCAGAGAGCAUGCUAGGCAGUUGGGUUUUCCUGGCUGUUUUUGAGCUGUUCUGCAGUUUGGAAUAAACGCUUCAGUUGUGGACUAGA
This is a long non-coding RNA of Colossoma macropomum (tambaqui), 4788 nucleotides long. RefSeq lists it as uncharacterized. The record is from RefSeq and is a predicted model, not a curated record. NCBI's taxonomy places the organism in Eukaryota, Metazoa, Chordata, Actinopteri, Characiformes, Serrasalmidae. The transcript is spliced from 2 exons.